Molecule: ribosomal RNA, 253 nt
Filed under: uncultured bacterium
Lineage: Bacteria
Description: partial 16S ribosomal RNA
Rfam family: Bacterial small subunit ribosomal RNA
Source: RNAcentral
UACGAAGGGGGCUAGCGUUGUUCGGAAUUAUUGGGCGUAAAGAGCUUGUAGGCGGUUUGUCGCGUCUGCUGUGAAAUUUCGGGGCUCAACCCCGAACUUGCAGUGGGUACGGGCAGACUAGAGUGUGGUAGGGGAGACUGGAAUUCCUGGUGUAGCGGUGAAAUGCGCAGAUAUCAGGAGGAACACCGAUGGCGAAGGCAGGCCUCUGGGCCACUACUGACGCUGAGAAGCGAAAGCAUGGGGAGCGAACAGG